RNAcentral lists this ribosomal RNA (429 nucleotides) under uncultured bacterium. RNAcentral describes it as "bacterial SSU rRNA". It matches the Rfam family "Bacterial small subunit ribosomal RNA", at positions 28 to 505 of the family's 1533-position model. The record is from RNAcentral.
GAUUAACGCUGGCGGUGUGUUUAAUACAUGCAAGUCGAACGAUCUUUUAGAUAGUGGCGAACGGGUGCGUAACACGUUGGAACCUGCCCCGGACUCAGGGAUAACACCUAGAAAUAGGUGCUAAUACCGGAUGGUCCCGCAAGGGUAAAGCUUUUGCGGUCCGGGAGGGGCCUGCGGCCUAUCAGCUUGUUGGUGAGGUAAUGGCUCACCAAGGCUAUGACGGGUAGCUGGUCUGAGAGGAUGAUCAGCCACAAUAGGACUGAGACACGGCCUAUACUCCUACGGGAGGCAGCAGUAAAGAAUCUUCCACAAUGGGGGAAACCCUGAUGGAGCAACACCGCGUGACCGAUGACGGUCUUACGAUUGUAAAGGUCUUUUCUGGGGGAAGAAUUAUGACGGUACCCCAGGAAUAAGCACCGGCUAACUCCG